GCCGGACUUGUUCAGCUCCCCGGCCGGCGGUUGUUCAUCCAAAAUGCCGACCACUCUCGGACCCUUAAUCUUCUCCGGCGAAAGCUUCGACAAAGUCACCUUAAGAACCCCAUUCUGAAGCUGAGCUUUAACAGAUUCCAUAUCCGCAUUACUGGGCAGUCGAAACUGCCUCCAGAAUUUUCCAUAGCUUCGUUCCAAUCUAUGCCAAUGCUCACUCUGUUUCUCCUCUUCCCUUUUCCUCUCUCCGAUCACUUUCAGAAUCCUGUUUUCCUCGUCCAAUUCGAUCUUCAUCUCCUCCUUGUUCAUUCCU
This 310-nucleotide unclassified non-coding RNA is filed under the name Hevea brasiliensis (rubber tree). Lineage: Eukaryota; Viridiplantae; Streptophyta; Magnoliopsida; Malpighiales; Euphorbiaceae. The record is from RNAcentral.